Molecule: ribosomal RNA, 497 nt
Filed under: uncultured bacterium
Lineage: Bacteria
Description: partial 16S ribosomal RNA
Rfam family: Bacterial small subunit ribosomal RNA
Source: RNAcentral
GAUGAACGCUGGCGGCGUGCCUAAUACAUGCAAGUCGAGCGGACAGACGAGGAGCUUGCUCCUCUGACGGUAGCGGCGGGCGAGUGAGUAACACGUGGAUAACCUCCCUAUAAUACUGGGAUGACUUCGGGAAACCUGAGCUAAUACCGGCUAAUAUAUUGAACCGCAUGGUUCAAUAGUUAAAGACCGUUUUACGGUCACUUAUAGAUUGAGCCGCGCCGCGGUAGCUAGUUGGUAAGGUAACGGCUUUCUAAGGCAACGAUGGGUAGCCGACGUGAAAGGGUGGUCGGCCACCCUGGAGGUGGGACACGGUCCAGACGACUGCGGGAGGCAGCAGACGGGAACCUUACGCAAUGGGCGAAAGCAUGACGGAGCAGCGGCGAGUGAGUGACGAAGGUCUCCGGAUCGUAAUACUCUGUUAUUAGGGAAAAACAAAUGUCUACGUAAAUAUGCCCGAAUUGACGGUACCUACUCAGAAAGCAACGGCUAACUACGUG